AAUCCCUUCGAAAGCAUAUACUGUUGUAUAUCCAUGAAAAGGAGCAAGAAAACUAUUAUGUCGAGCAGAUUUGAAAGUGAAAUGUUCGUAGCCUGCGCCGAGUAGUUUCCUGUCUGUCUAGUUUUUAUUUGGGCGUGUCUCUGGUGAAAGUACACUGUGCAUUUGACUAUCCGAACGAUGGGUGACAAUAGUGUAAGGUUAGAACAUUAUGAAAUGCUGAAGGCAUUAUACGACUUCGAUGCCACCUUCGCUAAAACUCUCAGCUUUCGUGAAGGGGAUCAUUUUAUAUUCCAUCAGAGUAAUACAAAGCAAAGAAAUUGGUGGCAAGUAGUGAAUAAUAAGGCUCAGGUUGGAUAUAUUCCAUCUAAUUAUGUCACUACCGUAAAGGUACAGGCACAAUUUUUCAUCGACUUUUUGGAUGGAUCUAUACUAAUUCUACAAUCGGAAAGUAAUAAAAGCGGUGAUACUCAUAAACAAGAUCUGUUAUCCGACUUGCUGACGAGAAGAAAACAAAUAGCGUUAAAUAAGAAACAACAAGCACCGAGUCAGAAAAAACAAGCACCAAUGCCUCCUGAUUUUGGAAAUACUACUCCAACCAAAGAAACUAUUCCUUCUUCUAUAUGUCCUAAUUCAGAGGUAGAUGUCAGACAUAUACAAAGUAAUACUUCUUAUGUAACAGCACAAACGACUCUUCAUGGUAAUUUGGAUCAAGGAGAAGUAUAUAAUACACAGUGUCGACGCCAGUCUGGAACUGAACAACGUAGACAGUCCUUUCCUCGUCAGUCUAGUUCAGAGACAGUUCAAAAAGCUUAUCCUACGACGCCGGAAAUACGUAAGAGUCCUUCGCAGAUUAGUGCACGAACGUCUCCUAAUGGUUCGCCUAUAAAAACUAAUUCCUUGUGUAAUAUAAAUUCCAAAACGGCUUAUCAAUUACUCGACAAAGUUCGUCGAAAUACUCAAUUAAGUUAUGAAAUGUCUAAAGUGGCAGUCAUAGUUGUUGUAUCUGAUUUACAACAUCUGUUACCUGAAAGUGUAAAUCACUAUUUUGAAGCGUUAUUGCAACAAUUAGAAACACCGCUAACAGUAUCAAAAAUGAAUAUCGAAGAAACUUAUGAUGCAAGUAGACUCAAAAUCAUUUUCACUGAACUCACUUCUUGCAAAGAAGAUUCUCAACAAAGAAAUUGGAUGCUUUAUGAGGAUGAAUCUGUUAUAGUAGAAAACAUUACUGAGCUUACAUCUAUACUGACAAAUGCAGAUGCAAAUGUUUCAAGAUACAUUUUAAAACAAGAUCAAUACAAUGGCGUUAACGUAUUAAUUCAGUAUUAUCAAAUGGAGCCUAGAUGGACUAUAAGACAAUUACUGUUGCAAUCAUUUGGUGUAAUGUGUAGUUUAGAUUCUAUCAUUUUAACUAUUAUGUUAAACAGCAUAUUACCAAUGGAAUUAGCAAGAGAUAUGAGGAGUAAUCCAAGAAAUGUACAGAAAUUAAAUUAUUCUUCAUUGCUGCUUAGUAUGAUUUUUUCAAUGGGUGAACCAAUGCCAGUUACACAUUGGGAACAACUAGGAUCUGAUUUUGUCUCGUUCCUCUUGGAUUUGAUAGAAAACCCACCAGACUCUGAUUUGGAAGAUCAAAUUCCUGAUUUAUUCGUCAAUUUAAUAUUAUCAUAUAAUUUGCAAUUUACGAAUUCGGAAAAUCCAUUAAUAAGUGCAUUAAAAGAAAGGACAGUAGCAAAAAUUUUCACUGAAAAAAUCCUCUUUCUUUUUAACAGAGAAGAGGAUCCAGUAAGAAUAUUUGAUCAUGAACCACAACCUCCUCAUUCCGUAUUGAAAUUGUUUAUCGAUCUGUUUAAUAACGACUAUACAGCAGGUCUUUUCUAUACUAACGACGUAAAAGUCUUAAUUGAAAUUAUUUUGAGGCAACUUUUCGAUAUGUAUCCUGGCGAUAAGCGUAGACAAUAUUUAGAAUUGUGUCGUAGAGUAUUACGUACUUCAAAUUAUAAUGAACAUCGGCAUCAAUCCGAAGAUCUUUUAAAAUGUUUUACAAGGAUAUUUUGCGAGGAAACGACUGAGAGUCAAGAGGACCAACGAUUGGUACGUGAAAUUAGCAAUGAAUUUCCACAUUUAUUUAAAAUGUGACCUUUACUUUCAUCCUCCGAUAAUAAAGACUUGGAGGAAGAUGAUUUACAAACUCUCGUAUAAAGCACAAAACUUGAAAGUAGGACUAGGCAGAUAUUUACUCGACUUUCUGGAACGAUACAAAUACCCUCCGUUAUGCUUGAACUGCAGAAGUCGGGACAGUCGGCCGCGACGAGCGAGGCUCCGGGGAUUGCCGCCCGCUAGGACUCUGCCAACACAACAACAACAAAGCCGCUUUCACGAUUCUAAUUCCUAAGCAACUAAUUCUCUAGAAACUAACUUAAGAGACAAUGAAACCUCGAGGUUUUUGUCCCUUUAUAAAUGGGAUCGUUAAACCUAUUGCAUUGCCAUAAACGCGAGCCUCGUGUCUCCUUUAUAUAGGGGAAGGGGGAGGGGGGGGGCUGUUCAUACAUUAUGGAUUUACAAUCUAUAAUGAUAAAUUCAUGCUAAAAAUUAUUUUUUUUAGUCAACAUGCAUCCAUAAAAAAUGUGAUAUAACUUUAAUGAUAUCAGUAAUUUUUAUCUAAUUACAUAUACACACACAUACACAAACACACACAAACACACACACACACACACACUCACACACACACGUGUGUCUGUGUAAUUUAUAAACUUUACUUACUAAUUCAUUGUUUACGUUCUAUGAAAGAAACAAAAGAAAAAUCAAGCAAAUCUUUUUUAAUGACAUCAAAUUGUUUAGGAUUUUAUCAAAUAAUUCCUUUUUCGAUUCACUUUUAACUUAAACGUUUUUUACUCACCUUUACCAAUGAAUCCCCUAAAGUCUAUUCUUUUUCUUUUUGUUUUUUUUUGUUUUUUUUUUGUUUGUUUUUUUGCUUAUUUUUGAUGAUACUCUCUUUAUCAUUCCAAUAAAUUAAAUUAGAUAUAUAUAUUCAUUUUCAUUCUUCGAUGUCGUAAAAAUGUAAUAUAUCGAGGGAAAUAUUUAGAUUUCGUUUCUUUGCAAAGUGCAGGUACUUGUAUGGCAUACAUCUUAUUCGUCACAUUCUUCGUAAAAUCGAGCUCUCGCAAAAAGAAACUCGUUGAAUGUUAUCCCGUAAAAAGCAAAUAUAUUCUCUGCGUGUAACAUUUUUCACAUGUCACUACGAUGCCCUUCCGUUCGUCGUGAAAUAUUAUCACCUACCACUUCUUAUCACUAUGGAGCAUAGAAUAUUUUGCAGAAAUAACUUUGACGACGUUCAAGUCUUUUAUUACGAGAGAGGAGCAAGGAGAGUUUCUCUAUAAACUUUGCAACAAUUCAAAGCUUUUUAUUUUCGAUCGAUUUAAAAUCGGUUUAUAUAUGAACCGUUUGCGGGUCAAAUUUAUUAAUUCGAUUUUAAGAAUUUAAAAAAAAAUUUUAAUAUUAUAUAAAUUAUAUAUAUAUAAUAUAAAGUGAGCCUAAAAAUUAUUAGAUGAUAUAUAAUCUUUUUCAAAACUUUUCGAAUUAAUUUCUUUUAUCGGAUUAUAAGCAUAAAAUUACAUAAAAUUACAAUUACUAGUACUAAUUUCUGAUCCACCCUUUAUAUAAAUAUUACUUUCAUAUUAUGCUUGUAAAUUGUAAAUCGAGCCAGCAGUUUACUUUUCAUAAUAUUUUUAAUUAUAAUUAUUUACUUUGUCCUUCAUUUUUUUACUCGUUUUCCUUCAUAUUUCCGUCACUUUUUAGAUAAUCGUGAAAUAUCAAACGAACGUAACAAGAACGUAGAUUUGUGAAGGAAUAAAGAAAAAAAAAAAAAAAGAUUCUAUAUGUUAUGAUAAAUUAUGGUCCGUCAACAUGAUAUAUAUUUAAAAAGAUGUUUUUUGUUUCAGGAUAAAAACAAUUUGCUCGUUGCUAAAACUUUGAAAUAACGUUCGUUAUGAAAAUUUUUAAUUAUAUUACGAAGCAUGAUGCGCGAUACUGUAAUAUAUCUAACCGUAUAAAAGAUAAUAUAUAUUGAUAAUUAUAUUUAUUUAUUUUUUUUUUUUUUAAAUUAGAUUUUAAAUACGACGAAUUUUUUCAAAUGGUUCGAAGGUAAAACAAAUAAUACGUAAAAUUUUCUCAAAAAUUCACUUUCUAUCGGAAAGAAAAAAUAAUCUUGAAAAAGAUAAUUUACCUAGAUCGUAAAUUUACUUAAAUCAGAAUCUAACGAGAUGAAUUAAGAAUAAAAGAGAAAGAAAUAUAAAAAAGAAUAAAAAGAAAAAAAAAAAAAAGAUACUGCAUAUGUUGCAAAAGAUCAAAGGAUAAGCCUUAUAAAAGCUUACAUUAAAGAAUAGGAUUUAAAAACGACGUAUUCUUUCAAAUUCUUCGAAAGUAGAACGAAUACUUUUCAAAAAAAAAAAAAAAAAAAAAGAAAAGAAAAAAAAGGAAAA
This is an RNA transcript of Vespa velutina, 4475 nucleotides long. It is a transcript of the gene named NCK-interacting protein with SH3 domain, with no coding region annotated. The record is from RefSeq and is a predicted model, not a curated record. Lineage: Eukaryota; Metazoa; Arthropoda; Insecta; Hymenoptera; Vespidae. The transcript has 10 exons.